UACGUAGGGGGCAAGCGUUAUCCGGAUUUACUGGGUGUAAAGGGAGCGUAGACGGCAUGGCAAGUCAGAUGUGAAAGCCCGGGGCUCAACCCCGGGACUGCAUUUGAAACUGUCAGGCUGGAGUGCAGGAGAGGUAAGCGGAAUUCCUAGUGUAGCGGUGAAAUGCGUAGAUAUUAGGAGGAACACCAGUGGCGAAGGCGACUUACUGGACUGUAACUGACGUUGAGGCUCGAAAGCGUGGGGAGCAAACAGG
This 253-nucleotide ribosomal RNA is filed under the name uncultured bacterium. RNAcentral's name for it is "partial 16S ribosomal RNA". It matches the Rfam family "Bacterial small subunit ribosomal RNA", at positions 524 to 776 of the family's 1533-position model. The record is from RNAcentral.